This 471-nucleotide ribosomal RNA is filed under the name uncultured bacterium. Its description in RNAcentral is "bacterial SSU rRNA". It matches the Rfam family "Bacterial small subunit ribosomal RNA", at positions 355 to 825 of the family's 1533-position model. The record is from RNAcentral.
UGGGGAAUCUUGGACAAUGGGGGAAACCCUGAUCCAGCAACGCCGUGUGAGUGAUGAAGGUCUUCGGAUUGUAAAGCUCUGUUAACCGGGAAUAAACACGUAAGCAUCAGAUCCUUACGUUUGAAUGUACCGGUAGAGGAAGCACCGGCUAACUCUGUGCCAGCAGCCGCGGUAAUACAGAGGGUGCGAGCGUUAUUCGAAAUUAUUGGGCGUAAAGCGCAAGUAGGUGGUGAGAUAAGUCCUGUGUGAAAGCCUCGGGCUCAACCCGAGAGGGUCAUGGGAAACUAUCUUGCUAGAGGACAAGAGGGGAGAGCGGAAUUCCCAGUGUAGUGGUGAAAUACGUAGAUAUUGGGAGGAACACCGGCGGCGAAAGCGGCUCUCUGGCUUGUAUCUGACACUCAGUUGCGAAAGCGUGGGGAUCAAACAGGAUUAGAUACCCUUGUAGUCCCUGAGCGGGCUGGCAAGGCGCAU